Molecule: non-coding RNA, 247 nt
Filed under: Clostridiales bacterium
Lineage: Bacteria; Bacillati; Bacillota; Clostridia; Eubacteriales
Description: T-box sequence
Rfam family: T-box leader
About the family: Uncharged tRNA acts as the effector for transcription antitermination of genes in the T-box leader family. T-boxes are found upstream of many aminoacyl-tRNA synthetase genes and some amino acid biosynthetic genes usually in Gram-positive bacteria.
Source: RNAcentral
CGAAAAGCUUUGACGAGGAGGAGUACAGUUCAUGCGUAGCUUUAGAGAGAAGGCGGUUGGUGAAAGCCUUUGCGACAGUGAUCUGGAAGUAGCCUUUGAGCUUUGGUUUGAAAGAUGCCUUACAUCAAGUAGACGCCAACGGAUUUCCACCGUUACAAGGAAGCUAUAUCGGCAUUUGCCCGUAUAGAUCAAGCGCAGAGUUUUCUCUGAAUUUAGGUGGUACCACGGACGCAAGCCCGCCCUAAGC